UAGUAGGCAGGAUGGGCCCUCGAACACCUCCGUGUUCCUGGUUGUGAGUUGACAACACACGAAUGAGGGCAUCGAUAGGGACAUCCAGGAACCUGGCUGCUCUUGCAGAGGACCCGAGUUCUGUCCCCAACACCCCCUGGUGGCUCGGGUGAUCUGCCUUGAUUCCGGGAGCACAGAGACCACAGACUGCAACUCUAACUUCCCUCUCCAAACUGGUCCACCACCCCAGGAUACUCCCUCUGCCUUCACAUGCAGCCCUGCUCAUAUCUGACACCUCCAAGAGACCGAACUUGGCUUAGUCUCCCGCUCAUUUUCAUCUGUUGUGACUAUUUUGACUGCACAGGCACAUACUUGCCAUAGAUGAGACAGAAAACAGUCACGAAGGCAGAGUGGGGGAAAAUGACUUCUGGUCAGGUGUGGCACGGUGCCACGGGUCUGUCACCCCAGUGCUCAGAGGAUGAGAAAGGCCACUGUUGGGAGUUUCAGGCCGGCCUGGGCUACAUGGUGAGAACUUGUCGAGGGUGGUGGAGGUGAAGAGAGUGAAGGGAUAGAUAUCAUUUUUAGAGUUCAAACCCCAGAACGCUAUAAAAUGGAUGUCACAGCACAACCUGUGGUCUCAGCACUUGGGAGGUAGAGGCAGGAGAAUCAGAGCACUCCAGGUCAUCCGUAGUUACAUAACAAGUUUGGGGCCAGCCUGAGCUACAUGAGACCGUGUCUAUAGAAAGGAAACUCAGAUCCCAAACUCAGAGUGCUGGGAUGGCAGGAUGGCAGGUGUCUGGCUCUAGAUGGGACCCAGGGCUUGCUGCGUCCUGGGCAAGCUGUCUACGCACUGAGCUAUUUCCCCGGGCCACACAGAAUUGUUUAUAGCCAAGAACAGCAAAAGGAAGCAACCUCCAUAUCCAUCAGCUGGAGAUUUAUAAAACCAACUUCAGCCUGGCCGAGUUGGGAGACACUCCCUAGGGGGUUGAAUGCACUGACGUGGAAAGCAAGCCCUUGUUAUUUUCCUGUUAAAACCAAGACAAAACCAAAUCUGUAAUUAAGAAAUAAAUAAAAUGAAAUGAAAACACUACGGGCAGGGCAUGGUGUGGGCUGAGCAGACAUCUGCUCUGAGGCCAGGCGACUUCAGAAAUGGCUAUACAUUGUGUCACUGAGAGCCCAGAAGCAAAGAACACACAGGAAGGGGUUGGGGCAGAAGAGUCCCCAACAUAUACCUCCAACACACGCCUCAUCCCAGCUGGGUCCUGUCACCCACCUUCAGCCAAGUCCCCACGCCAUCAUGUCAUGAACCAACCCAGGGACCAAACCCUUGAUUAGGCACAUCAGAGAAGACCAAUGAUUGUAAGUGAAAACCAAACAAACGAAAACCCAUCUCGAACAGUCUGGGGACGGCCGGGGCCUCCCUGGUUUUGGUCCAGGCAGCUUCUGCACCGUCUGCGUCACUGAUCUUCAGCGGAACUUCUCUGGGUCACAGCACGCUGACAUCACCGCAGCCAGCACCCCCAAACUAAAAGAAGGUAGUGUUUCCCUCCAGGACCCAGGAACACAGUCCCUUGGGUGUGAGGGCCUUCCUAGAGCCAAUCACAGAAGCCAGCCACAGAAAGCUUUCGGUUGGAGCCUGCAAGAUAGGAUAGUUCAGCAGGGAGAGGGGCUUGGUGACAAGGUGAAGGACCGGAGUCUAAUCCUCAGGACCCACACCGUGAAAUGGA
Non-coding RNA from Peromyscus maniculatus bairdii (prairie deer mouse), 1706 nucleotides. Lineage: Eukaryota; Metazoa; Chordata; Mammalia; Rodentia; Cricetidae. The record is from RefSeq and is a predicted model, not a curated record.